RNAcentral lists this ribosomal RNA (465 nucleotides) under Vreelandella stevensii. RNAcentral describes it as "partial 16S ribosomal RNA". It matches the Rfam family "Bacterial small subunit ribosomal RNA", at positions 338 to 795 of the family's 1533-position model. The record is from RNAcentral. Lineage: Bacteria; Pseudomonadati; Pseudomonadota; Gammaproteobacteria; Oceanospirillales; Halomonadaceae.
CCUACGGGUGGCUGCAGUGGGGAAUAUUGGACAAUGGGGGCAACCCUGAUCCAGCCAUGCCGCGUGUGUGAAGAAGGCCCUCGGGUUGUAAAGCACUUUCAGUGAGGAAGAACGCCUGGUGGUUAAUACCCAUCAGGAAAGACAUCUCUCACAGAAGAAGCACCGGCUAACUCCGUGCCAGCAGCCGCGGUAAUACGGAGGGUGCGAGCGUUAAUCGGAAUUACUGGGCGUAAAGCGCGCGUAGGUGGCUUGAUAAGCCGGUUGUGAAAGCCCCGGGCUCAACCUGGGAACGGCAUCCGGAACUGUCAAGCUAGAGUGCAGGAGAGGAAGGUAGAAUUCCCGGUGUAGCGGUGAAAUGCGUAGAGAUCGGGAGGAAUACCAGUGGCGAAGGCGGCCUUCUGGACUGACACUGACACUGAGGUGCGAAAGCGUGGGUAGCAAACAGGAUUAGAUACCCUAGUAGUC